CCAGUAGUCAAGUGGAGAAAACUAGGCUAAAAGUUAAUGAUGGAAAUACUUGGUCAGUGUGGUAAAUCAUCAGUAGUGAGUGGGGAAUGUUAGGUAACCUGACAUUUAGCUUCAAGGAGUCAGGAAUAGAUUCACCAUAGUCUCUGCUCAAUGACCUGGCUUCCUGAUCAGAGUCCAGGUGAAGUAGUUCAGUCUCAGUGGGUGUGAUUCUCAGUUACAGCCUAGCUUCUCAAAUGUUGAAGACGCUCAGUUUGGAACAUCAGAAGUGUUCAGGAUACAGAACUGUGAUGAGGAGAUGGACUAAAACAAUUAGUACUCAGGCCAGUAAAAUGAAAGUUGAGAAAAUUAUGAUUAAAGAACAAAAUAUUAGCAUUAUUUAGAGUCUCUGAAAGGACAAGCCUGUGCAUAACUACCCCCUCCCCCACUGGGGAUUGAACCCAGGGGUACUUACCACUGAGCUACAUCCCCACCCCUUUUUAUAUUUUAUUUUGAGACAGAGUCUCACUUAGUUGCUUAAGGCCCUUUUUAAGUUUCUGGGGCUGGCUUUGAACUUGUGACCCUCCUGCCUCAGCCUACUGAGUCACUGGGAUUAUAGGUGGGAAUUAUUGCACCCAGUU
This 617-nucleotide long non-coding RNA is filed under the name Marmota monax (woodchuck). The record is from RNAcentral. Lineage: Eukaryota; Metazoa; Chordata; Mammalia; Rodentia; Sciuridae.